This 130-nucleotide ribosomal RNA is filed under the name uncultured Legionella sp. Its description in RNAcentral is "partial 16S ribosomal RNA". It matches the Rfam family "Bacterial small subunit ribosomal RNA", at positions 488 to 618 of the family's 1533-position model. The record is from RNAcentral. Lineage: Bacteria; Pseudomonadati; Pseudomonadota; Gammaproteobacteria; Legionellales; Legionellaceae.
AGCACCGGCUAACUCCGUGCCAGCAGCCGCGGUAAUACGGAGGGUGCGAGCGUUAAUCGGAAUUACUGGGCGUAAAGGGUGCGUAGGUGGUUGAUUAAGUUAUCUGUGAAAUUCCUGGGCUUAACCUGGG